GCAGGCUUAAUACAUGCAAGUCGAGGGGCAGCAUGGUGUAGCAAUACACUGAUGGAGACCGGCAAACGGGUGCGGAACACGUACGCAACCUUCCCAAAACUGGUGAAUAGCCCUCCGAAAGGAGGAUUAAUACACCGUAACAUAUAGAUGUGGCAUCACAACUAUAUUAUAGUUUUAAUGGUUUUGGAUGGGCGUGCGCCUGAUUAGGUAGUUGGCGGGGUAACGGCCCACCAAGCCUGCGAUCAGUAACUGGUGUGAGAGCACGACCAGUCACACGGGCACUGAGACACGGGCCCGACUCCUACGGGAGGCAGCAGUAAGGAAUAUUGGUCAAUGGACGAAAGUCUGAACCAGCCAUGCCGCGUGAAGGAUGAAGGUCCUCUGGAUUGUAAACUUCUUUUAUCUGGGACGAAGGAGGGAAUUCUUUCUCACUUGACGGUACCAGAGGAAUAAGCACCGGCUAACUCCGUGCCAGCAGCCGCGGUAAUACGGAGGGUGCAAGCGUUAUCCGGAUUCACUGGGUUUAAAGGGAGCGUACGUGGGCAGGUAAGUCAGUGGUGAAAUCUCUGGGCUUAACCAGGGAACUGACAUUGAUACUAUUUGUCUUGAUUAUUCUGAAGGUAGGCGGAAUAUGUCCUGUAGCGGUGAAAUGCUUAGAUAUGACAUAGAACACCAAUUGCGGAGGCAGCUUGCUACGUAAAUUAUGACGCUGAGGCUCGAAAGCCUGGGGAUCAAACAGGAUUAGAUACCCUGGUAGUCCA
RNAcentral lists this ribosomal RNA (761 nucleotides) under uncultured bacterium. RNAcentral describes it as "bacterial SSU rRNA". It matches the Rfam family "Bacterial small subunit ribosomal RNA", at positions 42 to 797 of the family's 1533-position model. The record is from RNAcentral.